Paramuricea clavata is the source of this 106-nucleotide non-coding RNA. The record is from the annotation of a GenBank genome assembly. Lineage: Eukaryota; Metazoa; Cnidaria; Anthozoa; Malacalcyonacea; Plexauridae.
CAAUACUUUGUUUUUUAUGUUACUCUGAGUGUAUAUCCACACCGGAUGUGCUGAAAACUUUUCAGCCUGUCCGGUGUGGAUAUACACUCAGAGUAACAUGAAAAAC